Molecule: unclassified non-coding RNA, 2022 nt
Filed under: Hevea brasiliensis (rubber tree)
Lineage: Eukaryota; Viridiplantae; Streptophyta; Magnoliopsida; Malpighiales; Euphorbiaceae
Source: RNAcentral
AAUUUCUUUUGAUAUAUUUAUUUAAUUAAUUUGUUUUACAAAUAACAGGCAGAAUCUACUUUUUUUUUUCUUUCAAUGCAAUAAUGCUCAAGUUCUUAAUGACCUGCACAAUAUUGUACUGGGCUAGCCACAACAAACAGAGGAGUUUUCUUGUGCAUUGUAAUGCCAAAUGCUUCCUCCAUAUCUAAAUCUUCCCUUGUAACACCCUGAGGUAGUUCCCAAUUGUAGCGAUGCAAGAGAUUAGCAAGUGCAAGCUCAAUUAAAACAAUACUGAAAUUCAUUCCAGGACACCCUCUACGCCCAAACCCAAAUGGUAUUAAUUCGUAGUGUUGUCCACUGAAAUCAAUUGAGCUAUGCAGGAAUCUCUCGGGUCGAAACUCCUCUGGAUUUUUCCAUGAUUUAGGGUCCAUGGAUAUUGAUGAUGCACUAAUAUAUACCCUAGUUCUUGCUGGGAUUUCAUAAUCUCCAAUUUUGCAAUCCUCUAUAGUUUCUCUUGGAACUAAUAAUGGUGCUGGUGGAUAGACUCUCAAUGACUCUUUCACUACGGACUUCAGGUACACAAGUUGAGGAAGAUUGCUUUCUUGCACCAUCUCUUUUCCCUUACUAACUCUUCUUAACUCUUCUUGGACUCUUCUCAUUGCAUAUGGAUUCCUUAUCAAUUCGGUCAUCGUCCAAACUAAUGUGGCUGAGGAAGUAUCCGUCCCCGCUAUGAACAUGUCCUAAUAACCAAGAUCAAAUGAUUGAGAAAAUCUAUGUAAAAUAAAAGAAAUUAAAGAAUUAAGAAACACGCAUGCAACUCGGAAAGUUGUGGAAAAUUUACCAUCAGGGCACUCUUGAUAGAAUCGUCGCUGAGUUCAACUUCUCGAUUUGGAUCCUUCUGAAGUCGAAGCAAUACAUCAACAAGAUCCUCAUGCUCAGGUUUAGGCCUCCUCGGAUCGAGAUGUUCCUGUAAUAGUUUAUCAUAGAGCUUGUCAAAUUCCUUGAAAUUCUUCUCCACCCUUGCUUCUAGGCCAUUGAACUUGCAGAGCCACCCCAUCCAUGGAAAGAAGUCUGCAAUGCAAAAUCCUCCAAGUAACUGUUGUGCUUCACGAAGCAAGUCAUUAAGUCCACCACUUUCGCCAAUAAAUCUACCGUCGCAUUUUCUACCCAAAGCUACACGACAUAUAACAUUAUUUGACAGGACAACUGACAAGUCGCUUAGAUUAAUCGGAACCGAAGAGCAAGCUACAGAAUCAAGCAUCAGGCUCACUUCUUCUUCCCGUACUGCCUGGAAGGAUUGGACUCUCUUUGCACUCAGCAAUUCUACAAUUACAAUUUUUCUCAUCUCCCUCCAUUUCUCACCGUAGGGGGCUGAGGACAAGCCAGAACAGUUAUAACUAAAUUUCUUGGCAGAGUAUAAUAUUGGCCUGCCUGAAAACACAAGGUCAUGUUUUUUGAAGAUUUCUCUCACCAUAUCAGCUGAGGAAAUUAUUAUAGUGGGUAUUGAUCCAAGUUGCAAGAACAUAAUAGGGCCAUAUUCUUUUGCUAGGUGCUGCAGUGAUCUAUGGAUUGGAUUCAUUAGCUGGUGCAAGUUUCCUACAAGAGGGAGCCUCCUUGGACCUGGAGGAAGCCUCUUUGCUUGUAGUGACUGCUUUCCAUAUUUGAUAGACAGGAGAAGCAAGAAAGAUGGAAGGAAAACAAUUAAGAUCAGCAUCAGGAGUGGAUGAGAACUCAUAGUGUGAUCGCUCUGGGACGGCGAAGGAGAUGCACCCAUAUAUAUAUAUAUAUAGCACAAUAGAAUCCAAAAUUUAUAUAAAAUAAAAAUAAAUAUAGCUGGGAAAAAUGAAAUAUUAAAGAAAAAGUUAAAAAACAGGGAGAAGAAAAAUAGUCAGGCAUGAAGAAGCAAAUUUUUAUUCUUACACAAUAUUACAAGCAUGAUUCACAAUUGCUUCCUGUUUAAGAUCCAAAAACACAAAUUUUUUAAAGCAGGGAUAAAUUCUGUAAAAUGGCAUUCUACAUUUAUGUUUUAUUUCAAAGUUUUUG